RNAcentral lists this long non-coding RNA (618 nucleotides) under Equus asinus (donkey). RNAcentral describes it as "lncRNA (ENSEASG00005034937.1)". The record is from RNAcentral. Lineage: Eukaryota; Metazoa; Chordata; Mammalia; Perissodactyla; Equidae.
GUUUCUUUACUCUCUUGCCUUGAUGCUGGGAAGAUGCAAAUAGAUGAACCGAAAGAACAUGGCUCGGAUGGAUGUGCUGGAGGAAAUGCACCAGGAAAUCCCGAGCAGGGUGCAAUCAGUCAGCAUUAAUGCCCACAAGUAUCAAAGCUACUUGAAGAAAUACAGCUACUUAUGGAUGGGCGAUAAAAUUGAAUUCAUGAAGCAGCUCCUUCUCCAUGGGCAAUUUCUUGGUGCUGAAGAACUAGAAUUGCAUGCAGACUAAGAGUGUCAGAACUCCACACUGCAGUCAGCACACUUUGAAGAACAGGCAUUGAAUUUUAGCCGAGUCUAGCAUUAUCUUUUUCGAUUCCGAGGACAGCUAUUAAAUCAUAAAAUAUUUUGUGAUAUAAAGCUCUUGCUUCUGAGAGAUCUUUCCUUUCUUCCCUUUAAGAUCAACAUCUAUGAAAUAUUAUGUGAAUGAGUUGACAGCUUUAAAAAUCAGAGGAUAUUUAGUGGCUAGCUUCAAGUUGAUAGUAAACCUUUUAAAAACCAAUGAUGAAUGUUACAAAAAAUGGGGUUUGAUGUUUAAGAAGCAUCUGCUUAACGAUGUAACCUGCAGGGAAAGUAAUUUGAAUCUGG